GAUGAACGCUGGCGGCGUGCCUAAUACAUGCAAGUCGAGCGAACGGACGAGAAGCUUGCUUCUCUGAUGUUAGCGGCGGACGGGUGAGUAACACGUGGAUAACCUACCUAUAAGACCGGGAUAACUUCGGGAAACCGGGGCUAAUACCGGAUAAUAUUUUGAACCGCAUGGUUCAAAAGUGAAAGACGGUCUUGCUGUCACUUAUAGAUGGAUCCGCGCUGCAUUAGCUAGUUGGUAAGGUAACGGCUUACCAAGGCAACGAUGCAUAGCCGACCUGAGAGGGUGAUCGGCCACACUGGAACUGAGACACGGUCCAGACUCCUACGGGAGGCAGCAGUAGGGAAUCUUCCGCAAUGGGCGAAAGCCUGACGGAGCAACGCCGCGUGAGUGAUGAAGGUCUUCGGAUCGUAAAACUCUGUUAUUAGGGAAGAACAUAUGUGUAAGUAACUGUGCACAUCUUGACGGUACCUAAUCAGAAAGCCACGGCUAACUACGUGCCAGCAGCCGCGGUAAUACGUAGGUGGCAAGCGUUAUCCGGAAUUAUUGGGCGUAAAGCGCGCGUAGGCGGUUUUUUAAGUCUGAUGUGAAAGCCCACGGCUCAACCGUGGAGGGUCAUUGGAAACUGGAAAACUUGAGUGCAGAAGAGGAAAGUGGAAUUCCAUGUGUAGCGGUGAAAUGCGCAGAGAUAUGGAGGAACACCAGUGGCGAAGGCGACUUUCUGGUCUGUAACUGACGCUGAUGUGCGAAAGCGUGGGGAUCAAACAGGAUUAGAUACCCUGGUAGUCCACGCCGUAAACAAUGAGUGCUAAGUGUUAGGGGGUUUCCGCCCCUUAGUGCUGCAGCUAACGCAUUAAGCACUCCGCCUGGGGAGUACGACCGCAAGGUUGAAACUCAAAGGAAUUGACGGGGACCCGCACAAGCGGUGGAGCAUGUGGUUUAAUUCGAAGCAACGCGAAGAACCUUACCAAAUCUUGACAUCCUUUGACAACUCUAGAGAUAGAGCCUUCCCCUUCGGGGGGGCAAAGUGACAGGUGGUGCAUGGUUGUCGUCAGCUCGUGUCGUGAGAUGUUGGGUUAAGUCCCGCAACGAGCGCAACCCUUAAGCUUAGUUGCCAUCAUUAAGUUGGGCACUCUAAGUUGACUGCCGGUGACAAACCGGAGGAAGGUGGGGAUGACGUCAAAUCAUCAUGCCCCUUAUGAUUUGGGCUACACACGUGCUACAAUGGACAAUACAAAGGGCAGCGAAACCGCGAGGUCAAGCAAAUCCCAUAAAGUUGUUCUCAGUUCGGAUUGUAGUCUGCAACUCGACUACAUGAAGCUGGAAUCGCUAGUAAUCGUAGAUCAGCAUGCUACGGUGAAUACGUUCCCGGGUCU
Molecule: ribosomal RNA, 1373 nt
Filed under: uncultured bacterium
Lineage: Bacteria
Description: bacterial SSU rRNA
Rfam family: Bacterial small subunit ribosomal RNA
Source: RNAcentral